RNAcentral lists this ribosomal RNA (254 nucleotides) under uncultured bacterium. RNAcentral describes it as "partial 16S ribosomal RNA". It matches the Rfam family "Bacterial small subunit ribosomal RNA", at positions 524 to 776 of the family's 1533-position model. The record is from RNAcentral.
CACGUAGGGUGCGAGCGUUGUCCGGAAUUAUUGGGCGUAAAGAGCUCGUAGGCGGUUCGUCGCGUCGGCUGUGAAAACCCGGAGCUCAACUCCGGGCCUGCAGUCGAUACGGGCGGACUUGAGUGUUGCAGGGGAGACUGGAAUUCCUGGUGUAGCGGUGAAAUGCGUAGAUAUCUGGAGGAACACCGGUGGCGAAGGCGGCGUCCUGGACCAAUACUGACACUGAGUGAGCGAAAGCCAGGGGAGCAAACGGG